GAUGAACGCUGGCGGCGUGCCUAAUACAUGCAAGUCGAGCGAACAGACGAGGAGCUUGCUCCUCUGACGUUAGCGGCGGACGGGUGAGUAACACGUGGAUAACCUACCUAUAAGACUGGGAUAACUUCGGGAAACCGGAGCUAAUACCGGAUAAUAUAUUGAACCGCAUGGUUCAAUAGUGAAAGUCGGUUUUGCUGUCACUUAUCGCUGCAUCCGGGCCGCAUUAGCUAGUUGGUACGGUCACGGCCUACCACGGCAACGAUGCGUAGACGACCUGAGAGGGGGGUCGGCGACACUGGAACUGAGACACGGUCCAGACGCCUACGGGAGGGAGCAGUCGGGAAUCUGCGGCAAUGGGCGGAAGCAUGACGGAGCAGCGGCGCGUGAGAGAUGAAGGCGUUCGGAGCGGGAAGCUCUGUUAUUAGGGGAGAACAAAUGUGGAAGGAGAUAUGCAGGGAUUGACGGUACCGGAUCAGAAAGCCACGGCUAACUACGUG
Molecule: ribosomal RNA, 497 nt
Filed under: uncultured bacterium
Lineage: Bacteria
Description: partial 16S ribosomal RNA
Rfam family: Bacterial small subunit ribosomal RNA
Source: RNAcentral